AUUGAACGCUGGCGGCAUGCUUUACACAUGCAAGUCGAACGGCAGCGCGGGCUUCGGCCUGGCGGCGAGUGGCGGACGGGUGAGUAAUGCAUCGGAACGUGCCCAGUAGUGGGGGAUAGCCCGGCGAAAGCCGGAUUAAUACCCCAUACGACCUGAGGGUGAAAGCGGGGGACCGAAAGGCCUCGCGCUCUUGGAGCGGCGGAUGUCGGAUUAGCUAGUUGGUGGGGUAAAGGCUUACCAAGGCGACGAUCCGUAGCUGGUCUGAGAGGACGACCAGCCACACUGGGACUGAGACACGGCCCAGACUCCUACGGGAGGCAGCAGUGGGGAAUUUUGGACAAUGGGGGCAACCCUGAUCCAGCCAUGCCGCGUGCGGGAAGAAGGCCUUCGGGUUGUAAACCGCUUUUGUUCGGGAAGAAAUCCUCUGGGCUAAUACCCCGGGGGGAUGACGGUACCGGAAGAAUAAGCACCGGCUAACUACGUG
Molecule: ribosomal RNA, 484 nt
Filed under: uncultured bacterium
Lineage: Bacteria
Description: partial 16S ribosomal RNA
Rfam family: Bacterial small subunit ribosomal RNA
Source: RNAcentral